UACGUAGGUGACCAGCGUUGUCCGGAUUUACUGGGCGUAAAGAGCGCGCAGGCGGUCGUUCAAGUCGAGUGUGAAAGCCCCCGGCUCAACUGGGGAGGGUCACUCGAUACUGAUCGACUGGAAGGCAGGAGAGGGAAGCGGAAUUCCCGGUGUAGUGGUGAAAUGCGUAGAUAUCUGGAGGAACACCGGUGGCGAAGGCGGCAUCCUGGACCACGACUGACACUGAAAAGCGAAAGCCAGGGGAGCAAACGGG
RNAcentral lists this ribosomal RNA (253 nucleotides) under uncultured bacterium. Its description in RNAcentral is "partial 16S ribosomal RNA". It matches the Rfam family "Bacterial small subunit ribosomal RNA", at positions 524 to 776 of the family's 1533-position model. The record is from RNAcentral.